RNAcentral lists this ribosomal RNA (414 nucleotides) under uncultured Eubacteriales bacterium. RNAcentral's name for it is "uncultured Clostridiales bacterium partial 16S ribosomal RNA". It matches the Rfam family "Bacterial small subunit ribosomal RNA", at positions 355 to 774 of the family's 1533-position model. Lineage: Bacteria; Bacillati; Bacillota; Clostridia; Eubacteriales. The record is from RNAcentral.
UGGGGAAUAUUGCGCAAUGGGGGAAACCCUGACGCAGCAACGCCGCGUGAAGGAAGAAGGAUUUCGGUUCGUAAACUUCUAUCGAUGGGGAAAAAGUGCACGCAAGUGCUUGAUGGUACCCAAGUAAGAAGCCCCGGCUAACUACGUGCCAGCAGCCGCGGUAAUACGUAGGGGGCAAGCGUUAUCCGGAAUUAUUGGGUGUAAAGGGUGAGUAGGCGGUUAAAUAGGUCACAUGUUAAAUGGAACAGCUCAACUGUUUCAUGCAUGAGAAACCGUUAAACUAGAGUACAGGAGAGGUAAGCGGAAUUCCUAGUGUAGCGGUGAAAUGCGUAGAUAUUAGGAAGAACACCGGUGGCGAAGGCGGCUUACUGGACUGAGACUGACGCUGAAUCACGAAAGCGUGGGGAGCAAACA